CGGCUUUCCUAUUUUGUUGGUUUCUAGGGGAGCCGUAAUGAUUAAUAGGGUCAGUCGGGGGCAUCAGUAUUCAAUUGUCAGAGGUGAAAUUCUUGGAUUUACUGAAGACUAACUACUGCGAAAGCAUUUGCCAAGGAUGUUUUCAUUAAUCAGUGAACGAAAGUUAGGGGAUCGAAGACGGUCAGAUACCGUCGUAGUCUUAACCAUAAACUAUGCCGACUAGGGAUCGGGCGAUGUUACUAUCUUGACUCGCCCGGCACCUUACGAGAAAUCAAAGUUUUUGGGUUCUGGGGGGAGUAUGGUCGCAAGGCUGAAACUUAUAGAAAUUGACGGAAGGGCACCACAAGGCGUGGAACCUGCGGCUUAAUUUGACUCAACACGGGGAAACUCACCAGGUCCAGAUACAAGUAGGAUUGACAGAUWGAGAGCUCUUUCUUGAUUUUGUAGUUGGUGGUGCAUGGCCGUUCUUAGUUGGUGGAGUGAUUUGUCUGCUUAAUUGCGAUAACGAACGAGACCUUAACCUGCUAAAUAGCCCGGCUCGCUUUGGCGGGUCGCCGGCUUCUUAGAGGGACUAACGGCUCAAGCCGAUGGAAGUUUGAGGCAAUAACAGGUCUGUGAUGCCCUUAGAUGUUCUGGGCUGCACGCGCGUUACACUGACAGAGCCAUCGAGUUUUUUUCCUUGGCCGGAAGGUCUGGGUAAUCUUGUUAAACUCUGUCGUGC
Molecule: ribosomal RNA, 721 nt
Filed under: uncultured fungus
Lineage: Eukaryota; Fungi
Description: SSU rRNA
Rfam family: Eukaryotic small subunit ribosomal RNA
Source: RNAcentral